Long non-coding RNA from Mytilus californianus (California mussel), 2105 nucleotides. RefSeq lists it as uncharacterized. The transcript is spliced from 3 exons. Lineage: Eukaryota; Metazoa; Mollusca; Bivalvia; Mytilida; Mytilidae. The record is from RefSeq and is a predicted model, not a curated record.
GGAGAGUACCUAAGCUGCGUCUAUCGAUAAAACUGUAUGAAAUCAAAUUACAUACAUGCCUGUUAAUUAAAAACAGGUAUCCAUAUGGUGUAAUUUUUGUACUGAAACACGAAUAUUGUAUGUUUGUGCUUUAAUUAUUAUGGUAAACGGUUGCAAUAGCUGUUUUUUGUGCCGAGAUUGUCGGCUUGUGGACACCGCCUCCUUUUGAUGAUCAACCAAUCAGUAAGACGAUCGCCGUCGAACAGAUGUUUGUAGUUUGCAGAAUGGAAAGCACCUUGCAGCGGAAAUUAUUUUCACUUCUACGUGAAAAUCUAGCCAGAAAACUGACCUGUCAAAUAUAAGAAACAGAAUGCUAUUCCAGCUUUGAUGAACUAUAAAGUAAUGGUUUGAAUUUGAAAAGCUUUAUUAUUAGACAGGGAUGAUGACCUGCAGUGAGACAGCAGUAGAAAGUUGCAUAUAACUCAUGAUCAUCAUGACCAUUAUGGAAGAUCAGAUCAGAUGAAAAUUAUGUUUAGAAAGCCACUAAAUAUGUCUAUGAAAAGUAGAAAAAAGACAGCAAUUCUAUGUAAAGUACUUAGCAGAAGCAUUGGCUGUUUGAAUACCAAUGUCAGUGUUGGAAUUUAGUAUUUUGAUGCUGAGAGAUAGAGGAACAUUAACUGAACAAUUUAGCUUCUUUUUCAUGUGUCAUUGAAGUUGAUGUUUACCAUCUUAAAAAGCUUUUACCACAGUUAAAAUGAAUUCUAAAUACAGGCAGUUUGGAGAUUUGUGAAUUUUCUUACAAUUGGAGUUUCAAAAUGGAUUUCAUUUAAAAAAAUUAUUUAUUUCACAGAUGAAAUUUGUCGUCUCUCAAAUGCUUUUAUGAAAUAUUUGAAUAAUCAGCAAUAUAUUUUAAGCAAUACCUAACCAAAUGAGAGAUCUACAGAUAGACAUAUGAAUUUCAGUUGAACUGUGAAGAAGGAAAUAUUCAUUUAUAAGACUUAUAUAAGUGUUUUGUUAUUUUUAUGGCAAUUACGGGAAAGAUGAAUCAAUUCGAUUUAAACAUUACUCAUACCUACAGAUAUACAUGAGAUAUAGGCAUACAAUUUACUGAUGCACCACUAAUGGAUAUACAUGUAAUUAUAAAACUAAGAAGAUGUGGUAUGAUUGCCAAUGAAACAACUCUCCACCAGAUAACAAAUAGUCGUAUUUUAUAACGAUUUACAUUUCAAUUUCAUUUCAUAACACAGCAUACAGGUAUACAAAAAGUUCAAAAGCAUAGAAAAAGUGUUUUUAUUGCAAUUGCUGUUGUUCAUCUUAUGGUCACAUUGAGGUGGGCCUUCAAUACUAAGCAAGACCACUGGAACAGCCACAGACAUGACAGAAUGUUUGAAAAAAGAAAUCUGGAAAUUUUCUUUGCUUGUAUAUAUAUCAUGUAGCUGCCAUUAUGUACAUGUACAUACAUGUAUCUAGUUUUGUCUAUAUACUUGGAAAUCAGAAAAUUUUGCAAUGUUUUCAUUUCUUGUCUAAAUUGAAAUUGGUUAUAUGUUUUGCAAAAAAAUCAUGUAAAUUUAUUUAAAUGAUGGUAUUAUUUGUAUCCAGCAUUUUCUGAAACUGCAAUAAUUAAUCUCGCAUUUUUUGUUCUGGCAUUGUUCAAUAAUUAUAAUUAUCAUGAUUAUCUUGAUAAUAAAUUUACGCAAAAGUUUCUGAGUUUACAAUAGUUAUCAGGUUAUAUCUUUUUGAAGGAUAUCUAACUUUGAAACUUGUGAUGGAAUAUUUUCAUAGUAUUAGAGAUUCUUAUAUCUACAUUUGUAGUCUGUUUAGCAAAAUAUGUUGGGUAUACAUGUAUGGCCAUUAGACAGCAUCCCCAACACUGACAGAAAUUGUUUUUUUCUAACUUUGAAAUUGCGUACAUGUUUGGUAAUAUUAUACAGCUAGAAUUUAAUAUAAAAUAAGAAGAUGUGGUAUAAUUGCCAAUGAAGUUUUGAUUAACAAUUACAUGAACUAAGUCAUUUUACUUUUUGUGAUUGGGUCAGGUUAAGAUUACCCACUGAUUGUACCCUUGUCAAUGAUAUUUGUAGGCAGUACUAGUAUGUAGUUUUAUUAGCAUUUACAUAUUUUCAUUUCCA